GGAUGCGAUCAUACCAGCACUAAAGCACCGGAUCCCAUCAGAACUCCGAAGUUAAGCGUGCACGCUUAGGCGAGAGUAGUACUAGGAUGGGUGACCUCCUGGGAAGUCCUCGUGUUGCAUUCC
RNAcentral lists this ribosomal RNA (123 nucleotides) under Triticum aestivum (bread wheat). Lineage: Eukaryota; Viridiplantae; Streptophyta; Magnoliopsida; Poales; Poaceae. The record is from RNAcentral.